UACUGAAAUUUAUCAUUUGCUGGAGCAUCAGCAACAUGCCAGACCUGCAGAGCAAAAUUAAAUAAAAACCCAAAAUAAGCAGUAGUUCCAAGUGAAAUGUUUAAUUAUGGAGUCCAAUAUCAGAAAACCCAGAGCUAAUUGCAUAUUAGUGACCAAAAAAUUAUCAAUUCCAUCACAAAUAUUCACAUAAGCACUGGCAAGUGGCAACCCAAUCACCACCAUCAUCCUUAACGUCUAAGUUCUAUUUGUGCUAAUAUGUUAUAAAUUUAAAUUGAAAAAAAAAAAGACUAAUGCAAUUCAUCUGUAAUCUGAUUGUUCAUUUGUAAAAAAAAAAAUAGCAUUCAUUUCCAAUUUCAAAAAUCAAGUUCAAUUAUGACAAGCAAAAUAUUGUUGUGCACAGGUCCACCACCAUCACCCCUUAUGGAAAAAUCCAGAGUUCUUUGUCCAUCUCCCAUUUAAGCUAAAUGAAGAUAUAAACCCAAUCAAGGCAUCACAUCCAGGGAUGAAUCCAACAUAUUUAGCUUUGGCCUAAGAAUAAUGCAAACAGUUACUUCAACAAGGCCUCAUAGAGCCCACAUCCUAUCCAUGGGCUUGCCAAGCUUUUUACGUGGAAAAUAGAUCUGAAAAGCUGAGGGGCAAGAAGAGGCUCGUGAUUGACUAUAAAUUUCCUUUACCCAAACCUGAAGUCCUGUUUACCCAACUCCACGAAGCCUAUAUCUUUUCAAAGUUUGAUCUCAAAAUUGGUUUUUGCCAAUUGGGUAUCAAACCUUCAGACAGGCCCAAAACUGCAUUUUGCAUCCCCACGGCCCAAUACCAAUGGACCGUUCUCCCAUUUGGCUUAAAGACAGCUCCUUUUGUUUUCCAAAAAGCCAUGACAAAAAUAUUUGAGCCCAUACUUCACAGUGCCUUCAUCUAUAUUGAU
RNAcentral lists this unclassified non-coding RNA (922 nucleotides) under Hevea brasiliensis (rubber tree). Lineage: Eukaryota; Viridiplantae; Streptophyta; Magnoliopsida; Malpighiales; Euphorbiaceae. The record is from RNAcentral.